This 5686-nucleotide long non-coding RNA is filed under the name Pelobates cultripes (western spadefoot toad). Lineage: Eukaryota; Metazoa; Chordata; Amphibia; Anura; Pelobatidae. The record is from RNAcentral.
CGUCCAUUAUCCUAUAACAUCCUUUGUUGUUUUAUUAUGUAUCAGUAACUAAGAAUAAACCUGAAGACACCGUAAGUCAGAUUGCGUAUUAGUACUUUUCAUUAAUAUAGAUGUAUAUUAAUGUGUGGAGCCUUUGACCCAAGACUAUAUAUAAAAAAGAGACGUAUAUAUCAAUCAACUGAAGAAAAUAAUAAAUUAAGAAGGGAAGAAUAUUUUACAACCUGCACUUAGAAUUUCCAGUGUAGGUGGUUGAAGGCCUUUUCCAUGUUAAGGGAAGGUACCAAACCUCCCUCACUCUUUUUUCUAUGGCUGGAGAUUAUAUCUAAGACCUUUGCGAGAAUUGUCAGUGCCAUGUCUGCCGGCGAUUAAGCUUACUUGAUCAUUGUGGAUGAUGUAAGGUAGAAUUUUGGCAAAGAUUUUGGCGAAUAAUUUUGCAUCCGUGUUAAGGAGCGAGAUUGGUCUAAAAUUUUGGGGGGCUUGCCGGGCUUUGAGUUACGAUAUGUGCUACUAACAUUUCUGAUUUUACUGCUUCCGUGAAAGCCCUAACUAGGUGCAGAUCUAGUGUAGAUUGGAAUGUUUUGUAACAGGAGUUAUCUAGUCUUCCAGGGCCAGGUGAUUUGCCAGAUGGUAAGGCUUUGAUGACUUCGCUAACCUCCUCCUCAUCUACAGAGUUUGAAAGAGUUUUCUGCUGUGUUUGUGUAAGGCGUGGCAAGUUGAUUGUGUCUAGAUAAGCGUUGAUCUUGUCCUCUAAAGGUUGGUGGGUAGUUCCAUAUUUCUUAAGAUUGUAAAGGUCUGCAUAAUAUCUGGCAGAUUCAUUGCUGAUCUCCUGAGCUAUCAUGCAUUUUGUCCCAUUUGGUUUAACCCCUUAAGGACCAAGCUUCUGGAAUAAAAGGGAAUCAUCACAUGUCUUGUGUCCUUAAGGGCUUAAAAAGGUAUGCUAUUUUUUGUUUGGUCUGUUCUUUUAAUCUGGUGGCUAAGAGUGUGCUUGCUUUGUUACCUUGCGUGUAGUUUGUGGCUUUCAGUUUUUUAAGGUGGACAUUUUGCAUUCUAGAGGCUUUUGGUGGAUUUUCCUGGUGAGAUUCAUAAUUUUGUCCCUCAGUGCAGUGGUGGGAGUUUCUUUAUAUAUGACGCUUGGUGAAUGAGUAGUCCUUGAAAUACAAGUUUGUGUGCGACCCAUAAAGUACUACGGGGAGUGUCCGGUGUAACGUUGUCUGCGAAGUGAUGUUGGAGAGCCAUGUUCAGUUCGUCUCUGAAUUGUGUGUUAUGUAGUAAAGAGGUAAUUAACCUCCAUGUUGUUUAAAGUCGUAUAAGUCUUUUAAAUCUAAGGUGAUGGGCGCGUGGUCGGACCAAGUGAUAUCGCCUAUGUCACACUUAAUCUGAUUAUGAGAACUCCCUAGCAUGAGAAAACCAUCUAUUCUGGAAUAGGAAUUGUGUACUGGUGAGAAGGAGUAGGAUUUUUCGGUGACGUGUGCCAGUCUCCACGCAUCAUAGUAGUUUUUGUAUAGCUUUGCUUUGGAGUUUCAGGGGUCGGUAUCUGGCGCUGGAUGGUGGUGUUCAUCUGGGGGUUUAUAUCUUGUGUAGGAAGUUACGUUGGUUUGCGGCGUAUAGAUUGACUCUAGUGUAUAAGAUGUCAUUGAUAGUUGUGUAACAAGUGCGAAGGAUACAUUAGCACUAAUCAAUAUGGAAGUACCUUUGGAUUUGGCAGAGGAGGUAGCAUGGAAUUGGUGCGGAUAUGCCGCUUGUAACAGGGGCGGUGGUGAUUAGUCCUAAAAUGUGUCUCCUGCAGACAUGCUACACCAGCUGUCUGUGCAGACCAAUGUGUUUUAAGGAUCACAGUCCAGAGGUUUGCAACUGUAAGAGAGGCGAACCCAGUGCUAGCAAAUACAAAAAAUAUAAGUCCUGUGCUCACUCCCAUCACUCCUGGCCAUGACCACAGUACACAUCAACCCCAAUAUAUAGUAAAAACCAAAGGGAAAUAAGUUACCUGCGCUCUCUCCUUAAUCCCUAUGUAUAUUUAGACAAAUGGAGGUCACUUAGUUACUCCAAUGGCCAUUGGAAGGAAUGCCUGCCUGCCAAUGUCAAGGCAGACCCCCCUACACUGGGGGGGUCUGGGAGGUCUGCCUUGACGUUGGCAGGUGGGCAUUCCCUCCAAUGGCCAUUGGAGUAACUAAAUGACCUCCAUUUGUCUAAAUAUACAUAGGGAUUAAGGAGAGAGCGCAGGUAACUUUUUUUUCUUUGAACCCAGUGCUAGAUUCCUCCCUUUCUCUAGGUUUCAGUCAGACUAUCUUACUUCCCUUUUACAAGACCAAGGAUUUGUAAUGAAUUCAUAGGAAUCAUAGCCAGUUUCCACUCAGUGAUCUUUUUCUGGGUUUUGUACUGAACAACAGGACUAUGUCACUAGCAAUCCCUCAGCACAAAUUGGACAAGUUAUUUGUACAUCUGACCUCAUAACUAAGGCCCUUAGGCCAAAACGUUGUAUCUUUUUUUUUUUUUGUUCUUUUGAUCUCCAAUAAAUAUAUACUAUGUUGUGAUGCCUGUGAACCUCUAUUUUUAGUUGGCACAACUGGCCUCUUCUCACAGGGGGCAGAGUUGGUCUUUGAGAGAUCUGGCAAAGAUUAUCUGGAAUUAAUAGCUUUAUUUGGAGGCUCUUUGUCUUUUAUCUUGGCCGUAGCAGACAAAGUUCUGUUUUUUGCACAUGUUCCUGGAGAGGUAAACAAGCUGGCAGAUUCUCUUUCUUGCCAGUAUCCAACAAGUAUAUUCCAAUGGAUAGAAAGCAAUGUUGGCCAUAGACAAGUAGAUCCCAGACUUCUGCAUAAACUCCUAGGUUUUUCUCCAGGAUUUGGACAAAGGAGGAAAAAGGGGGCUUGGAAAAAGGGAAGCAAUGUCUCUCCAGAGGACAGAGGACAGAUGUUCCAGCCCCUUAUAUUUUUCCCUCUCCAGAUGAAAGAACCGCAGAGAAAGAGUACAGAGUUUAGUACUCGUUUACCCAAUCUGGACAUCCAGAUUCUGUUAUCCAUCAGUUAGUCAAGGGAACCACAGGUGUAACUAGAAACCACUGGGCCCCGGUGGAACAAUUGACCCGGGCUGUCCCCCCCACACACAUGUUUCAUUCCCUCCCCCAGCUCCUCCAUGUGUCUAAUUUCCUUCCCACGCCCCCCAUGUUUCUCCUUCCCUCCACCCAGCCCCUCCACGAGUCUCAUUCUCUCCCUCUCAGCUACUCCAGCUCAUUUCCCUGCUCCUCUCUCAGUCCCUUCAUUUGUCUAAUUUCUCCACCUCUCCAUUUGUCUCAUUCUCUCUCACCCCCAUCGAGCCUUCAUUAACCCCCUUUGCCCCCUACCCAGCCCCCACUUCCAUCUAUCCCUCAUUAUCCCCACAUCCAGCCCUCACUCCAUCUCUCACCCCCCCAUCCAGCCCUCAUUAACCCCCCUCACUCCCCAUCGAGUCCUCAUUAACCCCCCUCACUACCCAUCCAGCCCUCAUUAACUCCCCCUCACCCCACAUCCAGCCCUCACUCCAUCUCUAACCCCCCCAUCCAGCCAUCAUUUGCCCCCUCAUCCUCCUUCCAGUCCUCAUUAACUCCUCCCAUCCUCCUUCCAGACCUUAUUAGCCUCCUUCAGUCCCCAUCCAGCCCUCUCUCACCACUUCUUCCAGCCCUCAUUAAGCCCCCUCACUCCCCCCAUCCAGCACACAAUCCCUCUGUCCCCAAUCUUCCCCUGUACCUUAUGUCUGUGUGUAGCGUGGCCGAGCAAUACCCAGUCUGACAGAAAGUGCUCUCUCACUGAGCACUUCCUGUCAGCCACGAUGCUGGCCCACAGUCACAGGGGUCACAGCUGUGGCUGGGCCCCCUGGAGUCAUGGGCCCAGUUGUAGCUGCGAACCCUGCGACCGUGGAAGGCAAGCCACUGAAGGGAACCAAGAUCCCAUUGGUCUUGACUUUGGAGUGCUUUCAGGGAACCAGUGAUAUUUUGCUCAAGUUUCCGCAGCUGAUGUAGAUUGCAGCCCUUUUUUUGGACCAGGUCCUGUGCAUCAUUAGACGCAGCGCUAGGGUAAGAUAUAUAAAAACGGUUGAGGAAUUCAAAGAAUGGAGGGUUUCUUUUCAAUCUAUUUCUCAUAGGUCUGGCACCAUUCACUUAUAUUUAGAAUUUCCUACUCUUAAUCUGGUUUAGCAGUCAGUACCAUCAAGGCCUAUGGGACUGCUUUAAAUUUUCUUAUCCCUAAACUUACUCAAGAUGUGUUUGAGAUUAUUAAAAUAAUUAUCAGUCUGCCGCCCAUAUACUCCAAGCUGCACAUCUACUUGUUACUUAUUAACACUUAAUACAUUUCCUUAAGUUCUUGGAUAAUACUAAGAUUGGUUUAAGAUGGACUGCUAUUAAGUUGGCAUCUCUUUUUUGUUUUAGGCAUUGGCAGCUAGAGGAACUGAAUCAAUUCAAAUCCAUAUUUCAGAACUGUGGCUGUCCUGGACCCCAGGAGAGUUCCAUAUUAUACUUAUAGGGAGACAAAAACCUCCCAAAUUUACCCAGGUUGGAUGGGGUUGGAUUUCUAUUUAUGAUCCUUCUUAACCAGGAUUAUAUUUAGUCAGUUUGUUACAAUCUAACCUUGAUCUAUCUGCUUCUGUCAGUAUUGACAUUCGUCACUUAUAUAUUACAUCAAGGAAAACCUUUUGUCCAGCCAAAGUUAAUACAAUACUUGUUGGAUACUUUCUGCUAUGACUUUGGCUGGUCUUGACGUUUCUGUGUUUAAAGGUCACUCUAUCACGGGUGCCUCAGCUACAAAAGCUGAUGCAAAGGCUCCCCCCCUUCCUAUUAGUUUCAAAGCUGCCAGGUGAUCGCCUAUUAAAUUCUUUGUUAGAUUUUACUGGAGGCCAUAAGACUUGGUUUCUCAGGACUAACAUCAGGUCUGUGCUAUUCUACCCACUAUCUUUGCUAGGUGGUUAUGCCUCCUGGAAGACAAAAUCAAGUUUGCAGGAAUCUAUGAUCUGCGAAAGGUCUUUGUCUCAGGGAUGAGUGUAAUUACCUAGCAGUAGCGCCUGUUCCAGCAUCCAAUAGUCUAAGGGUUUAGCCUCAUGGUGGUGGUUUGCUUUCUCUAGAUGUUGUUUAUCUUCCAUUUUCUGUUUUUUUAUAGAUUACAAUCUAACUUUCAGACAGGGCCAAAAAUCCAAGGACCAACACAAGUAGGAAGAUGGGAAGCUAGGCGUAUCUUCUUAAAGUUGCAUACAAGAAUCAGCUGUUAGAGACUCGUUACAAUAUUGAGUUUUUUUUAAUUUUACAGAUGUUUUUGUUGUGAUUAUGUAGGACUCUGCAUGUUUUUUGUUUGUUUUUUACAUUGUCCACUCAUAAACCCAUUAACGCAUUAAAAAGCUGUUCAAGUAGAUUCCACUGGUCUGGUUUUAGGUCAGGAUAGUUUGUUUUCCUUCAUUCCUUUUGUUUCAGCCUGGACCUGCAGCAGUGUUUCAAGUCUCUGCCCUUUCUUGCAGCUAUGUAACAAUAUAUAACAGAGGAGGAGGAGGAGUGAGACACUUAAAAGAAAGGGAUGGAUGUCCAUGACGUUGUCAGAUGAAGCCUGUGGAGGUGGGCGAAACGCAUCAUGUACACGUCACGAGAGAGGCGGACCCGGAAGUGAUCACGUGAUCGGGACGGACGAAACCAGGAAGUGACUUUCUAUCUGCUGUUUAAAUGCUUUUAUGUGGG